UACGGAGGGUGCAAACGUUGCUCGGAAUCAUUGGGCGUAAAGCGCACGUAGGCGGUCCGUUAAGUCGGGAGUGAAAGCCCCAGGCUCAACUUGGGAAGUGCUUUCGAAACUGCAUAGCUAGAGUCCUGGAGAGGAAGGUGGAAUGCUUGGUGUAGAGGUGAAAUUCGUAGAUAUCAAGCGGAACACCGGUGGCGAAGGCGGCCUUCUGGACAGUGACUGACGCUGAGACGCGAAAGCGUGGGGAGCAAACAGG
This 253-nucleotide ribosomal RNA is filed under the name uncultured bacterium. RNAcentral's name for it is "partial 16S ribosomal RNA". It matches the Rfam family "Bacterial small subunit ribosomal RNA", at positions 524 to 776 of the family's 1533-position model. The record is from RNAcentral.